This is a small nucleolar RNA of Magnolia sinica, 107 nucleotides long. The record is from RefSeq and is a predicted model, not a curated record. Lineage: Eukaryota; Viridiplantae; Streptophyta; Magnoliopsida; Magnoliales; Magnoliaceae.
AAACUGUGUUGUGGGCAUGAACUGACGAAAUCCUUAAACCACUCCCAACAUUAGAAGAAUGUUUCAUCUUCUUUUUGGGUGAAGUUUAUGAUCGACUUCCUGAUGGU